RNAcentral lists this ribosomal RNA (162 nucleotides) under uncultured bacterium. RNAcentral's name for it is "partial 16S rRNA". It matches the Rfam family "Bacterial small subunit ribosomal RNA", at positions 355 to 510 of the family's 1533-position model. The record is from RNAcentral.
UAGGGAAUCUUCCACAAAUGGGCGAAGCNGAUGGAGCAACGCCGCGUGUGUGAUGAAGGGUUUCGGCUCGUAAAACACUGUUGUAAGAGAAGAAUGACAUUGAGAGUAACUGUUCAAUGUGUGACGGUAUCUUACCAGAAAGGAACGGCUAAAUACGUGCCA